UUGAAUUGGCAAAAAAGUUUGUUUGAGUUCUUUCAUAAGAUGUUAUGAAAAACACAAAAGAACCUUUUGGCCAACACAAU
RNAcentral lists this microRNA precursor (80 nucleotides) under Ovis aries (sheep). RNAcentral's name for it is "miRNA (ENSOARG00000022433.1)". Lineage: Eukaryota; Metazoa; Chordata; Mammalia; Artiodactyla; Bovidae. The record is from RNAcentral.